CCUACGGGAGGCAGCAGUGGGGGAUAUUGCACAAUGGGGGAAACCCUGAUGCAGCGACGCCGCGUGGGUGAAGAAGUAUUUCGGUAUGUAAAGCCCUAUCAGCAGGGAAGAAAGAAGACGGUACCUGACUAAGAAGCCCCAGCUAACUACGUGCCAGCAGCCGCGGUAAUACGUAGGGGGCGAGCGUUAUCCGGAUUCACUGGGUGUAAAGGGAGCGUAGACGGCCGUGCAAGCCAGGAGUGAAAGCCCGGGGCCCAACCCCGGGACUGCUCUUGGAACUGUGCGGCUGGAGUGCGGGAGGGGCAGGCGGAAUUCCUGGUGUAGCGGUGAAAUGCGUAGAUAUCAGGAGGAACACCGGCGGCGAAGGCGGCCUGCUGGACCGCGACUGACGUUGAGGCUCGAAAGCGUGGGGAGCGAACAGGAUUAGAUACCCCAGUAGUC
Molecule: ribosomal RNA, 441 nt
Filed under: uncultured bacterium
Lineage: Bacteria
Description: partial 16S ribosomal RNA
Rfam family: Bacterial small subunit ribosomal RNA
Source: RNAcentral